This 703-nucleotide small RNA is filed under the name Pongo abelii (Sumatran orangutan). Its description in RNAcentral is "processed transcript". The record is from RNAcentral. Lineage: Eukaryota; Metazoa; Chordata; Mammalia; Primates; Hominidae.
CCAAUAGGCCAGGUCCUGGGAGCCUAGGACCAUGGAAAAGGAGAGAGGACACCACAACCUCCCACCAGUGCAGUCGUUCCAGAAACCCAACAAGAAAUUUAAAGAAUAUGUGAAUGGCAGUAACCUCAUCACCAAGCUGCAGGCCAAGCACGAUUUACUCAAGCAGACCUUGGGCGAAGGGGAAAGAGCAGAAUGUGGCACCACCAGGAUUCAGGACAAGCUAUACCGCUUGUAGUCGAGAGCUGCAUCCGUUACAUCAAUUUAUAUGGACUCCAGCAGCAGGGGAUCUUCAGAGUGCCAGGAUCUCAGGUGGAAGUCAAUGACAUCAAAAAUUCCUUUGAGAGAGGUGAAGACCCCCUUGUGGAUGAUCAAAAUGAACGAGAUAUCAAUUCAGUCGCUGGUGUUUUAAAACUGUAUUUCCGAGGACUGGAAAACCCACUCUUUCCUAAGGAAAGGUUUCAAGAUUUGAUAUCUACUAUUAAACUGGAGAACCCAGCCGAGAGGGUGCACCAGAUCCAACAAAUCCUCGUCACCCUUCCCCGCGUGGUCAUUGUGGUCAUGAGAUACCUCUUCGCUUUCCUCAACCACCUCUCCCAGUAUAGCGACGAGAACAUGAUGGAUCCCUACAACCUGGCCAUCUGCUUCGGGCCUACCCUCAUGCACAUCCCUGAUGGGCAGGACCCUGUGUCCUGCCAGGCACACA